AGUGAACGCUGGCGGUAGGCCUAACACAUGCAAGUCGAACUGCAGCACAGGAGAGCUUGCUCUCUGGGUGGCGAGUGGCGGACGGGUGAGGAAUACAUCUGAAUCUACUCUGUCGUGGGGCAUACCGUAGGGAAACUUAAGCUAAUACCGCAUACGACCUACGGGUGAAAGCAGGGGAUCUUCGCACCUUUCGCGAUUGAAUGAGCCGAUGUCGGAUUAGCUAGUUGGCGGGGUAAAGGCCCACCAAGGCGACGAACCGUAGCUGGUCUGAGAGGAUGAUCAGCCACACUGGAACUGAGACACGGUCCAGACUCCUACGGGAGGCAGCAGUGGGGAAUAUUGGACAAUGGGCGCAAGCCUGAUCCAGCCAUACCGCGUGGGUGAAGAAGGCCUUCGGGUUGUAAAGCCCUUUUGUUGGGAAAGAAAUCCAGCUGGUUAAUACCCGGUUGGGAUGACGGUACCCAAAGAAUAAGCACCGGCUAACUUCGUGCCAGCCGCCGCGGUAA
Molecule: ribosomal RNA, 506 nt
Filed under: uncultured bacterium
Lineage: Bacteria
Description: partial 16S ribosomal RNA
Rfam family: Bacterial small subunit ribosomal RNA
Source: RNAcentral